This 2043-nucleotide long non-coding RNA is filed under the name Coturnix japonica (Japanese quail). RNAcentral's name for it is "lncRNA (ENSCJPG00005000318.1)". Lineage: Eukaryota; Metazoa; Chordata; Aves; Galliformes; Phasianidae. The record is from RNAcentral.
AUGGACCCUUACUUUGCACACCCCCCCAUUACUUUGCACACACCCCUGCUUUGCACACACACCCCACUUUGCACACCCCCUUCUUUGCACACCCCCCUUUGCUUUGCAUCCCCUCCAACCCAAUGCAUCCCAAUGAGAUCCCAUUGCAAUGCACCCCCACCUUCCUCCAGUGCUCUGCAUUGCUGCUGGCUCAGCACGGUCCUGCUGCGCUGUUUGCUGCGGCCUGGGGGGGUCCCUGGGGGGGUCCGGGGGUCUGCAACUGCAAUGGGGGAGGGGGGAGAUGGGGGGGUGGAAAGGGAGAAGGUGCAUGGAGACGUGUGUGUGUGUGUCUGCAGGUGUGCAUGCAUCGGUGUGCAUGCAGGUGUGUGUAUACAGGUGUGUGUGUGUGCAGGUGUGUGUGCAGGUGUGUGCAUGCAGGUGUGUGUAUGCAGGUGUGUGUGUGCAUGCAUGUGUGUGCAUCCUUGUGUGUAUGUGUCUGCAGGUGUGCAUGCAUCUGCAUGCAUGCAGGUGUGUGUGCAUCCAAAUGAGUGCAUGCGUGUGUGCAUGUGUGCAUGCAAAUGUGCGCAUCGUUGUGUGUAUGUGUCUGCAGGUGUGCAUGCAUCUGUGUGCAUGCAGGUGUGUGCAUCCUUGUGCGUAUGUGUCUGCAGGUGUGCAUGCAGGUGUGUGUGCAUACAAAUGUGUGCAUGCACGUGUGCAUGUGUGCAUGCAUGUGUGUGCAUCUGUGUGUGUGUGCAUGCAUGUGUGCAUGCACCUGUGUGCAUGCAGGUGUGUGUGCAUCCAAAUGAGUGCAUGCAUGUGUGCUUGUGUGCAUGCGUGCAUGAGUGUGUCUGCAUGUCUGCAGGUGUGCUUGCAUCCAUGUGUGUGCAUGCAUGUGUCUGCAUAUCUGCAUGUGUGCAGGCGUGUGUGCACCACUGUGUGUGCAUGUGUGUGUUUGUGUCUGCAGGUGUGCAUGCAUUCCUGUGUUUGCAUGCAUGCAGGUGUGUGUGCGUCCAAAUGAGAGUGUGCACGUGUGCAUGUGUGUGUGUGUGUCUGCAGGUGUGCAUGCGUCCAUGUGUGUGCAUGUCUGCAGGUGUGUGUGCACGUGUGUGUGUGUGUGUCUGCAGGUGUGCAUGCGUCCAUGUGUGUGCAUGCAUGUCUGCAGGUGUGCGUGCAUGUGUGUGUGUGUCUGCAGGUAUGCAUGCAGGUGUUUGCAUGUGUGCAGGUGUACAUGCAUCCACGUGUGCAUUUGUGCAUGUGUGUGUGCAUGCGUGUGCCUGCAAGUCUGCAGGUGUGUGUGCAUCCUUGUGUGUGCUUGUGUGCAUGUGUGCAUGCAUCCACGCGUGUGCAUGCCUGCAGGUGUGUGUGCAUCCAAAUGAGUGCAUGCAUGUGUGCUUGUGUACAGGUGUGCAUGCAUGUGUCUGCAUGUCUGCAGGCGUGUGCAUCCUUAUAUGUGCAUGCACGUAUGUGUGUGUGCACCCAUGUGUGUGUGCAUGUCUGCAGGUGUGCAUUCAUGCAUGUGUGUGUGUGUGCAUGCAUCUGCAUGUCUGCAGGUGUGUGUGCAUCCUUGUGUGUGCUUGUGUGCAUGCAUGCAUGCAUCCAUGUGUGUGUGUCUGCAGUUGUGCAUGCAUCCUUGUGUCUGCAUAUGUGCAGGUGUGCAUGCAUCCAUGCAUGUGUGUGCACGUGUGCAUCUAUGUGUGUAUGUGUGUCUGCAGGUGUGCAUGCAUGCAUCUGCAUUUGUGCGUGUGUGCAUGCAUCCGUGUGUGUGUGCAUGUCUGCAGGCGUGUGUGCAUCCUCGUGUGUGCAUGUGUGCAUGCAUCCUUGUGUGUGUGUCUGCAGGUGUGCAUGCAUGUGUGUGCAUGUGUGUGUGUGCAUGCAUGUGUGUGCACGUUUGCAGGUGUGCAUGCACCCCGUUGUGUAUAUGUGCACGCCCGCAGUGUCCUUGCACACCCAGUUGUGCACCUACCCGCGCUCUCCCCCCCCUGCAGCGCAUUGUGUUGCAUUGAUCCCUGCAGCCCCCGCAGCACCCGAUUGAUGGACGAGACCUGGGGGCAAAAUGGGGCUUGA